Molecule: ribosomal RNA, 303 nt
Filed under: uncultured bacterium
Lineage: Bacteria
Description: bacterial SSU rRNA
Rfam family: Bacterial small subunit ribosomal RNA
Source: RNAcentral
GGAUUAGAUACCCUGGUAGUCCACGCCGUAAACGAUAAUCACUAGACGUCAGCUUGGCUUUGCCGGGUUGGUGUCGUAGCUAACGCGUUAAGUGAUUCGCCUGGGAAGUACGGUCGCAAGACUAAAACUCAAACGGAAUUGACGGGGGUCCGAACAAGCGGUGGAACAUGUGGUUUAAUUCGACACUACGCGAGGAACCUUACCUAGGCUUGACAUGUUUUUGACAGUUGUGGAAACACAAUCUUCUAGGCUUCGGUCUAGACAAUUACACAGGUGCUGCAUGUCUGUCGUCAGCUCGUGCCG